AGGAGAUGGAGAGCGGCUUACGGUCCAAUGGACUGAGGAAAGUCCCCUCUCCUAGAGCGAAGCAGCCGAAAGGGGCCUGAGAGGGUCGGCAAUGGAACAGAAACGCCACAGCCAUUGACUAAUGGAGUGAUCGCAUUGUGCGUGACGUCGUCGAUGGAUUUGAUGAAACGCCCAUCCCUGCUGGAGCAAUUCCAAGAAACCGCUACGACCUGCUCGGGAGCGGAUGGUAGGAAGCUUAGUUGAAUGCCGCUAACCGGAAUUUCCGGGUAACAGAAAGGGGCUUACUCCCAUCACCU
Molecule: RNase P RNA, 296 nt
Filed under: Marine Group III euryarchaeote CG-Bathy1
Lineage: Archaea; Methanobacteriati; Thermoplasmatota; Thermoplasmata; Candidatus Thermoprofundales
Description: RNase P RNA component
Rfam family: Archaeal RNase P
About the family: Ribonuclease P (RNase P) is a ubiquitous endoribonuclease, found in archaea, bacteria and eukarya as well as chloroplasts and mitochondria. Its best characterised activity is the generation of mature 5'-ends of tRNAs by cleaving the 5'-leader elements of precursor-tRNAs. Cellular RNase Ps are ribonucleoproteins.
Source: RNAcentral